This 419-nucleotide ribosomal RNA is filed under the name uncultured bacterium. Its description in RNAcentral is "bacterial SSU rRNA". It matches the Rfam family "Bacterial small subunit ribosomal RNA", at positions 31 to 496 of the family's 1533-position model. The record is from RNAcentral.
GUACGCUGGCGGCACGCCUAACACAUGCAAGUCGAACGCAGUAGCAAUACUGAGUGGCAAACGGGUGAGUAUAAUGUGGGAAUCUGCCUUUUGGUUUGGAAUAACACGGGGAAACUUGUGCUAAUACCAAAUAAGCCUUUACAGGGAAAGUUUUAAUGCCAAAAGAUGAGCCCGCACUUGAUUAGCUAGUUGGUAAGGUAAAAGCUUACCAAGGCAACGAUCAAUAGCUGUUCUUAGAGGAAGACCAGCCACAUUGGGACUGAGACACGGCCCAGACUCCUACGGGAGGCAGCAGUGGGGAAUCUUGCACAAUGGGGGAAACCCUGAUGCAGCGAUGCCGCGUGAGUGAAGAAGGCCCUUGGGUUGUAAAACUCUUUCGUCGGGGAAGAAAAUGACUGUACCCGAAUAAGAAGGUCCGG